GUGGCCAUAGCUCAGUAGGUAGAGCAUCUGGUUGUGGUCCAGAAGGUCGCGGGUUCAAGCCCCGUUGGCCACC
RNAcentral lists this transfer RNA (73 nucleotides) under Boudabousia liubingyangii. RNAcentral describes it as "Actinomyces liubingyangii tRNA". It matches the Rfam family "tRNA". From Rfam's summary of the family: Transfer RNA (tRNA) molecules are approximately 80 nucleotides in length. Their secondary structure includes four short double-helical elements and three loops (D, anti-codon, and T loops). Further hydrogen bonds mediate the characteristic L-shaped molecular structure. tRNAs have two regions of fundamental functional importance: the anti-codon, which is responsible for specific mRNA codon recognition, and the 3' end, to which the tRNAs corresponding amino acid is attached (by aminoacyl-tRNA synthetases). tRNAs cope with the degeneracy of the genetic code in two manners: having more than one tRNA (with a specific anti-codon) for a particular amino acid; and 'wobble' base-pairing, i.e. permitting non-standard base-pairing at the 3rd anti-codon position. Lineage: Bacteria; Bacillati; Actinomycetota; Actinomycetes; Actinomycetales; Actinomycetaceae. The record is from Rfam by way of RNAcentral.